GUUGAACGCUGGCGGCAGGCCUAACACAUGCAAGUCGAGCGGAUAAAGGGAGCUCGCUCUUGGAUUCAGCGGCGGGCGGGUGAGUGAUGCCCAGGUAUCUGCCUCGUAGUGGAGGCUAAUAUCCCUAAGGGAGCGCUAAUACCCCACCCGACCAGAGGGAGAACGGGGGGGAUCAUCGGUCAACGCCCGAUCAGCUGAGCCUGGGACGGGGUAGCUAGUUGGUGGGGCAAGGUCCUACCAAGGCGACGUUGCGUAACAGGUCUGAGAGGAUGAUCAGUCACACUGGAACUGAGACACGGUCCAGACUCCUACGGGAGGCAGCAGUAGGGAAUCUUGGACAAUGGGCGAAAGCCUGACCCAGCCACGCCGCGUGUGUGAAGAAGGUCUUCGGAUUGUAAAGCACUUUCAGUUGGGAGGAAGGGAAGUAAGAUAAUACCUUGAUGUUUUGACGGUACCAACAGAAUAAGCAACGGCUAACUACGUG
This 484-nucleotide ribosomal RNA is filed under the name uncultured bacterium. RNAcentral describes it as "partial 16S ribosomal RNA". It matches the Rfam family "Bacterial small subunit ribosomal RNA", at positions 28 to 507 of the family's 1533-position model. The record is from RNAcentral.